RNAcentral lists this ribosomal RNA (673 nucleotides) under Salmonella enterica subsp. enterica serovar Newport. RNAcentral describes it as "partial 23S ribosomal RNA". It matches the Rfam family "Bacterial large subunit ribosomal RNA", at positions 928 to 1598 of the family's 2925-position model. The record is from RNAcentral. Lineage: Bacteria; Pseudomonadati; Pseudomonadota; Gammaproteobacteria; Enterobacterales; Enterobacteriaceae.
CAUCCCGACUUACCAACCCGAUGCAAACUGCGAAUACCGGAGAAUGUUAUCACGGGAGACACACGGCGGGUGCUAACGUUCGUCGUGAAGAGGGAAACAACCCAGACCGCCGGCUAAGGUCCCAAAGUCAUAAUUAAGUGGGAAACGAAGUGGGAAGGCUCAGACAGCCAGGAUGUUGGCUUAGAAGCAGCCAUCAUUUAAAGAAAGCGUAAUAGCUCACUGGUCGAGUCGGCCUGCGCGGAAGAUGUAACGGGGCUAAAUUAUGCACCGAAGCCGCGGCAGCGAUAUGUAAAUAUUGUUGGGUAGGGGAGCGUUCUGUAAGCCUGUGAAGGUGACCUGUGAGGGUUGCUGGAGGUAUCAGAAGUGCGAAUGCUGACAUAAGUAACGAUAAUGCGGGUGAAAAACCCGCACGCCGGAAGACCAAGGGUUCCUGUCCAACGUUAAUCGGGGCAGGGUGAGUCGACCCCUAAGGCGAGGCUGAAAAGCGUAGUCGAUGGGCAACGGGUUAAUAUUCCCGUACUGGUGGUAACUGCGAAGGGGGGACGGAGAAAGCUAAAUCAUCCGGGCGACGGUUGUCCCGGUUUAAGCGUGCAGGUGGACUGACCAGGCAAAUCCGGUCGGUUGUUAACACUGAGGCGUGACGACGAGCCACUACGGUGGUGAAGUGAUUGAU